GGCUACACGGGUUGGAGUUAUCCUACCUGACCUGACAUCUGGUGCGGAGAGCCAACCUGUUUGUCUUGUAAAUGAUGUUGAUGAUGAGAAGGGACCUGCUUAUUUCACAUAUAUCCCAAGUCUGAAGUACUCAAAACCUUUCAUGAAGUCUAAUCCAUCUAUGGGAUGUCAAUGUCUUGGUGGAUGUCAACCUGGUGGCAGUUGUUCUUGUGUUCAGAAAAAUGGAGGCUAUUUGCCCUUUAAUUCAAUUGGAGUUCUCAUGAGUUACAAAACCUUGGUACAUGAGUGCGGUUCUGCCUGUUCAUGCCCUCCGAACUGCCGGAAUCGAACCACUCAAGCAGGUCCUAAAGUGCGUGUGGAGGUCUUCAAAACAAAAAAUAGAGGUUGGGGGCUUAGGUCUUGGGAUCCCAUACGCGGAGGUGGCUUUGUUUGUGAAUAUGCCGGAGAAGUUAUUGAUGAAUCUAGGGUAGGUGAAUUUGGCAAUGACGGUGACGAUGAUUAUAUAUUUGAUGCUACCCGC
RNAcentral lists this long non-coding RNA (520 nucleotides) under Capsicum annuum. RNAcentral's name for it is "long non-coding RNA (CANN_LNC016665)". Lineage: Eukaryota; Viridiplantae; Streptophyta; Magnoliopsida; Solanales; Solanaceae. The record is from RNAcentral.